Molecule: ribosomal RNA, 508 nt
Filed under: uncultured bacterium
Lineage: Bacteria
Description: partial 16S ribosomal RNA
Rfam family: Bacterial small subunit ribosomal RNA
Source: RNAcentral
GACGAACGCUGGCGGCGUGCCUAAUACAUGCAAGUCGAACGCUUCUUUCCUCCCGAGUGCUUGCACUCAAUUGGAAAGAGGAGUGGCGGACGGGUGAGUAACACGUGGGUAACCUACCCAUCAGAGGGGGAUAACACUUGGAAACAGGUGCUAAUACCGCAUAACAGUUUAUGCCGCAUGGCAUAAGAGUGAAGGGCGCUUUCGGGUGUCGCUGAUGGAUGGACCCGCGGUGCAUUAGCUAGUUGGUGAGGUAACGGCUCACCAAGGCCACGAUGCAUAGCCGACCUGAGAGGGUGAUCGGCCACACUGGGACUGAGACACGGCCCAGACUCCUACGGGAGGCAGCAGUAGGGAAUCUUCGGCAAUGGACGAAAGUCCGACCGAGCAACGCCGCGUGAGUGAAGAAGGUUUUCGGAUCGUAAAACUCUGUUGUUAGAGAAGAACAAGGACGUUAGUAACUGAACGUCCCCUGACGGUAUCUAACCAGAAAGCCACGGCUAACUACGUG